RNAcentral lists this non-coding RNA (228 nucleotides) under Enterococcus cecorum. RNAcentral's name for it is "T-box sequence". It matches the Rfam family "T-box leader". From Rfam's summary of the family: Uncharged tRNA acts as the effector for transcription antitermination of genes in the T-box leader family. T-boxes are found upstream of many aminoacyl-tRNA synthetase genes and some amino acid biosynthetic genes usually in Gram-positive bacteria. Lineage: Bacteria; Bacillati; Bacillota; Bacilli; Lactobacillales; Enterococcaceae. The record is from RNAcentral.
GAAAAUACGUUGAAAAGAAGAGUAGCCAUAGUCCUUUUUCAGAGAGCUUCUGGUUGGUGCAAAGAAGUAGAGACCUAUGUGUGAAACACAUCUUGGAGUAGAUUUUCUGAAAUGAGGAAGUAGGAAGAUUCGGGUGGCCCGUUAUAGCCAGAGUCAAGUAGACUUAUUGAGACAAUUACUGCGAGGUAGUUGUGAAAAAAGGUGGAACCACGUCAACACGUCCUUUGG